GCGAUUUUAGUUUAAUUAGAAUGUUGGUUUGUCUAACCGGAGGUGGUAAUUUAUCAAGUCGCU
This 63-nucleotide transfer RNA is filed under the name Diphyllobothrium cordatum. Its description in RNAcentral is "tRNA-Asp". The record is from RNAcentral. Lineage: Eukaryota; Metazoa; Platyhelminthes; Cestoda; Diphyllobothriidea; Diphyllobothriidae.